GACGAACGCUGGCGGCGUGCUUAACACAUGCAAGUCGAACGCUGAAGCUCAGCUUUUGUUGGGUGGAUGAGUGGCGAACGGGUGAGUAACACGUGAGUAACCUGCCUCCUUCUUUGGGAUAACGCCCGGAAACGGGUGCUAAUACUGGAUAUUCACUGGUCUUCGCAUGGGGGUUGGUGGAAAGGGUUUUUCUGGUGGGGGACGGGCUCGCGGCCUAUCAGCUUGUUGGUGGGGUGAUGGCCUACCAAGGCUUUGACGGGUAGCCGGCCUGAGAGGGUGACCGGUCACAUUGGGACUGAGAUACGGCCCAGACUCCUACGGGAGGCAGCAGUGGGGAAUAUUGCACAAUGGGCGCAAGCCUGAUGCAGCGACGCCGCGUGAGGGAUGGAGGCCUUCGGGUUGUGAACCUCUUUCGCUCAUGGUCAAGCCGCAACAAUGGUUGUGGUGAGGGUAGUGGGUAAAGAAGCGCCGGCUAACUACGUG
RNAcentral lists this ribosomal RNA (483 nucleotides) under uncultured bacterium. Its description in RNAcentral is "partial 16S ribosomal RNA". It matches the Rfam family "Bacterial small subunit ribosomal RNA", at positions 28 to 507 of the family's 1533-position model. The record is from RNAcentral.